CGGGCGGCCUAAGCGUGCACCGGGGAAUUCCACCCACUGAGCUGCGAGCGUGCGGAGGGCGUGUCGCGUUCUUUGGGGGCGCCCGACGUUUGUCCUCCAUGAGGAUGCUCCAAUGCUACCUGGCUCGCUUGCACAGGUGAGGUGGAUGACAGCAAGGCGGCGGAACACAGGCCCAGGGGACCUGGCAGGGCGGUGUGUUCGGCGCGGGCCGCGACCCUCAGGCCCGGCUCGGGCGCCUCCAGCCCUCCGGGGCGACCGAAGGUCAGGGACGGAAGGGGUGCGGCGGGGGGUCCUGCCGCGUCCCCGCACCCUCCCGCCAGCCGUCGAAGCGGCAGGUGUCCCCUCGUCCUACCUCGGCUGGCACCGCGGCCCCCGCUUUCAGGUGAAGGAAGGCGGCUCCUCUUCGACUGCGCGGCGGGUCUCCUCCUUCCCCGUACCGGGACGCCCGAAAGCAGCCGCUCUCUGCCUCAGGUCUGCCACCAGCCCGGUUCCCGCGAACCGGAGGGAGGGGAGCCGCUCCAGGAAGUGACGUCACACCACGUCGCCGCCCCCGAAGGCUCGCGCUACAGUUGUUGGUCCCUAUCUCUGCAGCAGCCAGAACAAAUCUAAUUUCCUCGAGGGGAAUCGAUGGUUUUGUUCCACAGACUUUACUAUUAAAAGUGACUUCCUGAGAAAUGGAGCUACGAUAUCGAGUUUGCCAAGUAGGCGACACAAAGACUUCAAUUCCCAGGAGGCACUGUGGGUAUCCUAGGUUCAGGCUCGAGCUUUGCAUCAUGGGAUUUGUAGUUAUCACUGGCUUGGGGUUCUCUCAAAGGGUUGCCUUCCAGAUCACUGGUCCUUAGGAAGGA
RNAcentral lists this long non-coding RNA (848 nucleotides) under Cricetulus griseus (Chinese hamster). RNAcentral's name for it is "lncRNA (ENSCGRG00015017911.2)". Lineage: Eukaryota; Metazoa; Chordata; Mammalia; Rodentia; Cricetidae. The record is from RNAcentral.